AUACAUGGCCGACGCGGGUCAAAGUGUAGUAUUUGUUCUUAGCAGCUUAAUAUCUGAUACGGGUUUUAUUUGGACCCAAGAUAUUAAACUUAUUUUUGCAAGUUGGCGGAGUGCUUGAAGCCUGCUUCACCUCCAGCGCUGGUCAGUCUGCUGGUAUUCUAUUAUCUUCGGUAUUGACCAACCUUCU
Molecule: small nuclear RNA, 187 nt
Organism: Dermacentor silvarum
Lineage: Eukaryota; Metazoa; Arthropoda; Arachnida; Ixodida; Ixodidae
Product: U2 spliceosomal RNA
Exons: 1
Source: RefSeq, a predicted model, not a curated record